GGAUUUAUCAUAUAAAUUUUGGUUGUAAAACCUCUUAUAUAUAUAUUGGUUCUUUCCUUAGCUUCUUGUUUUCAUCUACAAAUAAUCUCUUUCUUCUUCACGAAUAAGAACAAUUCUUUCUUCAGUACCAAUUAUGGCAACGUAUACUUUCGAACAAAACGAAUACUUGGAAGAUGUCAUUGAGAGUCAGGUACAAACUUCGUUGCUA
Molecule: long non-coding RNA, 208 nt
Filed under: Nicotiana benthamiana
Lineage: Eukaryota; Viridiplantae; Streptophyta; Magnoliopsida; Solanales; Solanaceae
Description: long non-coding RNA (NBEN_LNC001499)
Source: RNAcentral